GAAAGGCCCUUCGGGGUACUCGAGUGGCGAACGGGUGAGUAACACGUGGGUGAUCUGCCCUGCACUUUGGGAUAAGCCUGGGAAACUGGGUCUAAUACCGAAUAGGACCGCAUGCUUCAUGGUGUGUGGUGGAAAGCUUUUGCGGUGUGGGAUGGGCCCGCGGCCUAUCAGCUUGUUGGUGAGGUAAUGGCUUACCAAGGCGACGACGGGUAGCCGGCCUGAGAGGGUGACCGGCCACACUGGGACUGAGAUACGGCCCAGACUCCUACGGGAGGCAGCAGUGGGGAAUAUUGCACAAUGGGCGCAAGCCUGAUGCAGCGACGCCGCGUGAGGGAUGACGGCCUUCGGGUUGUAAACCUCUUUCGCCAGGGACGAAGCGCAAGUGACGGUACCUGGAGAAGAAGGACCGGCCAACUACGUGCCAGCAGCCGCGGUAAUACGUAGGGUCCGAGCGUUGUCCGGAAUUACUGGGCGUAAAGAGCUCGUAGGUGGUUUGUCGCGUUGUUCGUGAAAACUCACAGCUUAACUGUGGGCGUGCGGGCGAUACGGGCAGACUUGAGUACUGCAGGGGAGACUGGAAUUCCUGGUGUAGCGGUGGAAUGCGCAGAUAUCAGGAGGAACACCGGUGGCGAAGGCGGGUCUCUGGGCAGUAACUGACGCUGAGGAGCGAAAGCGUGGGGAGCGAACAGGAUUAGAUACCCUGGUAGUCCACGCCGUAAACGGUGGGUACUAGGUGUGGGUUUCCUUCCUUGGGAUCCGUGCCGUAGCUAACGCAUUAAGUACCCCGCCUGGGGAGUACGGCCGCAAGGCUAAAACUCAAAGAAAUUGACGGGGGCCCGCACAAGCGGCGGAGCAUGUGGAUUAAUUCGAUGCAACGCGAAGAACCUUACCUGGGUUUGACAUGCACAGGACGCCGGCAGAGAUGUCGGUUCCCUUGUGGCCUGUGUGCAGGUGGUGCAUGGCUGUCGUCAGCUCGUGUCGUGAGAUGUUGGGUUAAGUCCCGCAACGAGCGCAACCCUUGUCUCAUGUUGCCAGCACGUUAUGGUGGGGACUCGUGAGAGACUGCCGGGGUCAACUCGGAGGAAGGUGGGGAUGACGUCAAGUCAUCAUGCCCCUUAUGUCCAGGGCUUCACACAUGCUACAAUGGCCGGUACAAAGGGCUGCGAUGCCGUGAGGUGGAGCGAAUCCUUUCAAAGCCGGUCUCAGUUCGGAUCGGGGUCUGCAACUCGACCCCGUGAAGUCGGAGUCGCUAGUAAUCGCAGAUCAGCAACGCUGCGGUGAAUACGUUCCCGGGCCUUGUACACACCGCCCGUCACGUCAUGAAAGUCGGUAACACCCGAAGCCGGUG
Molecule: ribosomal RNA, 1348 nt
Filed under: Mycolicibacterium gilvum
Lineage: Bacteria; Bacillati; Actinomycetota; Actinomycetes; Mycobacteriales; Mycobacteriaceae
Description: Mycobacterium gilvum 16S ribosomal RNA
Rfam family: Bacterial small subunit ribosomal RNA
Source: RNAcentral